Molecule: RNase P RNA, 423 nt
Filed under: Novosphingobium sp. Gsoil 351
Lineage: Bacteria; Pseudomonadati; Pseudomonadota; Alphaproteobacteria; Sphingomonadales; Sphingomonadaceae
Description: Bacterial RNase P class A
Rfam family: Bacterial RNase P class A
About the family: Ribonuclease P (RNase P) is a ubiquitous endoribonuclease, found in archaea, bacteria and eukarya as well as chloroplasts and mitochondria. Its best characterised activity is the generation of mature 5'-ends of tRNAs by cleaving the 5'-leader elements of precursor-tRNAs.
Source: Rfam by way of RNAcentral
CCGGGGGGCCGGGCAGCCGCGUCAGGGAAACCUGCCGAGGAAAGUCCGGGCUCCACGAAACAAGGGUGGCGGGUAACGCCCGCCGGGCGUCGGGCUUCGGCUCGACGUUCAGGGAAAGUGCCACAGAGAGCAGACCGCCUCGCAAGAGGUAAGGGUGAAAGGGUGCGGCAAGAGCGCACCGCGCGACCGGCAACGGAAGCGGCACGGCAAACCCCACCUGGAGCAAGGCCUAAUAGGGGCGGCGAGACGGUCUCGAAAGGGACCGGCUGGGGUGUUUCGCCCCGACCGCCCGGGUUGGCUGCUUGAGCCUUGCGGCAACGCAAGGCCUAGAGGAAUGGCUGCCGAUGCGGGGCUGGUCCGCCCAGGGGAACUUGGAGGACACCGCCCGCGUCACAGAACCCGGCUUACAGGCCCCCCGGCAAC